GACGAACCGUGCGAACGUUGUUCGGAUUCACUGGGCUUAAAGGGCGCGUAGGCGGAUGUUCAAGUCAGGGGUGAAAUCCCCCAGCUCAACUGGGGAACAGCCUUUGAUACUGGACGUCUCGAGGGAGGUAGGGGCAGGUGGAACUUCCGGUGGAGCGGUGAAAUGCGUAGAUAUCGGAAGGAACGCCGGUGGCGAAAGCGACCUGCUGGACCUCUUCUGACGCUGAGGCGCGAAAGCGUGGGGAUCAAACAGG
RNAcentral lists this ribosomal RNA (253 nucleotides) under uncultured prokaryote. RNAcentral describes it as "partial 16S ribosomal RNA". It matches the Rfam family "Bacterial small subunit ribosomal RNA", at positions 524 to 776 of the family's 1533-position model. The record is from RNAcentral.